Molecule: long non-coding RNA, 732 nt
Organism: Rosa chinensis
Lineage: Eukaryota; Viridiplantae; Streptophyta; Magnoliopsida; Rosales; Rosaceae
Exons: 5
Source: RefSeq, a predicted model, not a curated record
CUGCCCUCGCCUCAUGUCUUCGGUUUUGCCCUUGCUUUCCCCCCAUAAUCUCAGGCUGCCCGUACUAGAUGCUUCCAUCGGUUUCUUCUUUCUACGGCCAUAUAACCAAGAUUGACUUCCUUAAGUGGUGAGAAGAGAGAGUGUGAUGCGAGUUUGCUGUGGAUAAGAAGGAAAGGGACUGUGAUAGAGGUCGAAAGAGACUCUGAGAGCGAAGAGGCUCUUUUGCUUUAACCACAACACUCCAAUAGCUCAAGUAAAACUCGCCUGCAGUCUAUUUGUUCUCUUGAUUUGACGAUGAAGGUCUCUAAUCUGACGAUCAGUACUAUAGCAUUUAAAAGAAACUUGAAAAACAAACAUAUUUAUCAGAAGCUUGGUUGAGACGGAGGGACGAGAAGAUCGAGGAGGACGAAGAUGGAACUGGGUCUUAAGAUACUCUAAAUGGUCCAAGUGAGGGCUAGAAGAUAGGGGAAGAUCUCCGCGAGAAUAGAUCGGGUCGAAGGUAUUUUUGCUCUUUUGGUGGCUUUGAUGUUCAAUUGCGUGAAGAGAGAUGACAUUGAUUGCUCUCCUUACGAAGAGGGCGAGUGGAGGUUUAUCUAUCUGAGGAUCGGAGGGUGCAUUAAAUGUAGGCUUAAAAGAUCAUCUGACAAUACAAUACAUUAUAUUGUAUUGUGUGCCAGACAUUGAAGGGUUGAGUAGUUAUGAUGGGGAGGUUCUUCAGUCGACCAGAUUCAA